AUUGAACGCUGGCGGCAGGCCUAACACAUGCAAGUCGAGCGGGGUUUUCGGACCUAGCGGCGGACGGGUGAGUAAUGCGUAGGAAGCUACCCGAUAGAGGGGGAUACCGGUUGGAAACGACUGUUAAUACCGCAUAAUGUCUACGGACCAAAGUGUGGGACCUUCGGGCCACAUGCUAUCGGAUGCGCCUACGUGGGAUUAGCUAGUUGGUGGGGUAAUGGCUCACCAAGGCGACGAUCCCUAGCUGGUUUGAGAGGAUGAUCAGCCACACUGGAACUGAGACACGGUCCAGACUCCUACGGGAGGCAGCAGUGGGGGAAUAUUGGACAAUGGGCGCAAGCCUGAUCCAGCCAUGCCGCGUGUGUGAAGAAGGCCU
This 376-nucleotide ribosomal RNA is filed under the name uncultured bacterium. RNAcentral's name for it is "bacterial SSU rRNA". It matches the Rfam family "Bacterial small subunit ribosomal RNA", at positions 30 to 417 of the family's 1533-position model. The record is from RNAcentral.